Molecule: ribosomal RNA, 584 nt
Filed under: uncultured bacterium
Lineage: Bacteria
Description: bacterial SSU rRNA
Rfam family: Bacterial small subunit ribosomal RNA
Source: RNAcentral
GCAAGUCGAACGAACCUUCGGGUUAGUGGCGGACGGGUGAGUAACGCGUGAGAAUCUGCCCUCAGGAGGGGGACAACAGCUGGAAACGGCUGCUAAUACCCCAUAUGCCGCGAGGUGAAAUGAAUUUCGCCUGAGGAUGAGCUCGCGUCUGAUUAGCUAGUUGGUGUAGGUAAUGGCUCACCAAGGCAUCGAUCAGUAGCUGGUCUGAGAGGAUGAUCAGCCACACUGGGACUGAGACACGGCCCAGACUCCUACGGGAGGCAGCAGUGGGGAAUUUUCCGCAAUGGGCGAAAGCCUGACGGAGCAACGCCGCGUGAGGGAUGAAGGCCUCUGGGCUGUAAACCUCUUUUAUCAAGGAAGAAGAUCUGACGGUACUUGAUGAAUAAGCCACGGCUAAUUCCGUGCCAGCAGCCGCGGUAAUACGGGAGUGGCAAGCGUUAUCCGGAAUUAUUGGGCGUAAAGCGUCCGCAGGCGGCCCUUCAAGUCUGCUGUUAAAAAGUGGAGCUUAACUCCAUCAUGGCAGUGGAAACUGUUGGGCUUGAGUGUGGUACGGGCAGAGGGAAUUCCCGGUGGUACGGUGAAAU